RNAcentral lists this long non-coding RNA (958 nucleotides) under Homo sapiens (human). RNAcentral's name for it is "HSALNT0075251". The record is from RNAcentral. Lineage: Eukaryota; Metazoa; Chordata; Mammalia; Primates; Hominidae.
GCUCCACCCAGUUCGAGCUUCCUGGCUGCUUUGUUUACCUAAGCAAGCCUGGGCAAUGGUGGGCGCCCCUCCCCCAGCCUGGCUGCUGCCUUGCAGUUUGAUCUCAGACUGCUGUGCUAGCAAUCAGCGAGACUCCGUGGGGUAGGACCCUCAGAGCCAGGUGCGGGGUAUAAUCUCGUGGUGCGCCGUUUUUUAAGCCCGUCGGAAAAGCGCAGUAUUCGGGUGGGAGUGACCCGAUUUUCCAGGUGCUGUCCGUCACCCCUUUCUUUGAUUAGGAAAGGAACUCCCUGACCCCUUGCGCUUCCCGAGUGAGGCAAUGCCUCGCCCUGCUUCGGCUCGCGCACGGUGCGCGCACCCACUGACCUGCGCCCACUGUCUGGCACUCCCUAGUGAGAUGAACCCGGUACCUCAGAUGGAAAUGCAGAAAUCACCCGUCUUCUGCGUCGCUCAGGCUGGGAGCUGUAGACUGGAGCUGUUCCUUUUCGGCCAUCUUGGCGCCUCCCUCAGGUCUCACAGUUUGGAGGAUAGAAUGGGAAAAUGCUGAUUGCAAGUUAUUUCCGACAUCCUUGAACUUACCUCCCACAUGUGAAUCACAGCUUCUACUGCAUGCCCACUCCUUUUGCCUAAAUAUGCAGUUAUCAUCAUACAUCCAGAAUUGCCCUCUGGUCAGACUUUAAGAAAAUGGCAUCUUCUACUUCCUGUUCCUUGGGAUGCUUACUCUUGGAGCACAGCCACCAAGCUGUGAGAAGUGCAAUCCAUACGGAGAGGCUACGUAUGGGGGUAUGGCCAACAGCCCACUGGCUGCAAGCAUCAAUUGCCAGACUUGUAAUUGAGAAGGCCUGUCAGAUGAUUCGAGUCCCUUCCAGCCACCAUCAGACUCUGAAUGCAUGAGAGGACCUGAGAGAGAACUGCCAAGCUGAGCCAAAUUAACCCCAGAAACAUAAGGUAUAAUAAUAAA